AUGCACCUCGCCUCUCUCAUCCUCACCCUCUUCCUGGGACAGCUCCUGGGCACCACAGGGCAGAUCACGGUCACCCAGGACGAUGGACAAGUCACGGUGGAGCAGGGACACCCCUUCCAGACCACCUGCAAAUACCAGACCGGUGGUGGUUAUGCUGCCUUGUUCUGGUACCAGCUGUGGAAAGGCCAAGCCCCACAGCUGCUCUCCUAUCAAGCAGGCUCUGGCCCCAAGCACAGCGGCCGGAUCACCACGCACCUCAACACCACAGGGAAAUACAGUGUCCUGAAGGUGGAGGAAGUGCAGCUCUCUGACACUGCCUUGUACCUCUGUGCUGUGACAGACACCCCGGGGCAGGGAGCGUCCCCGGCUGGAAGAAAAGGGAAAGAGAUAAAGAAAGUACAGAUUGACACCUAUGUGUCAGUAGACGAUAAGGGACAAAAGGAGGGAGCUCAGAGCUCAACAGCCUCUAAUUGA
This is a non-coding RNA of Poecile atricapillus (Black-capped chickadee), 474 nucleotides long. NCBI's taxonomy places the organism in Eukaryota, Metazoa, Chordata, Aves, Passeriformes, Paridae. The record is from the annotation of a RefSeq genome assembly.